AGUGAACGCUGGCGGUAGGCCUAACACAUGCAAGUCGAACGGCAGCACAGUAAGAGCUUGCUCUUACGGGUGGCGAGUGGCGGACGGGUGAGGAAUACAUCGGAAUCUACUUUUUCGUGGGGGAUAACGUAGGGAAACUUACGCUAAUACCGCAUACGACCUACAGGUGAAAGCAGGGGAUCUUCGGACCUUUCGCGAUUGAAUGAGCCGAUGUCGGAUUAGCUAGUUGGCGGGGUAAAGGCCCACCAAGGCGACGAUCGGUAGCUGGUAUGAGAGCAUGAUCAGCUACACUGGAACUGAGACACGGUCCACACUCCUACGGGAGGCCGCAGUGGGGAAUAUUGGACGAGGGACGCAAGCCUGAUCCAGCCAUACCGCGUGGGUGAAGAACGAGUUCGGGUUGUAAAGCCCUUUUGUUGGGAAAGAAAAGCAGCAGGUUAAUACCCCGCUGUUCUGACGGUACCCAAAGAAUAAGCACCGGCUAACUUCGUG
This 492-nucleotide ribosomal RNA is filed under the name uncultured bacterium. Its description in RNAcentral is "partial 16S ribosomal RNA". It matches the Rfam family "Bacterial small subunit ribosomal RNA", at positions 29 to 507 of the family's 1533-position model. The record is from RNAcentral.